CGGGUGAGUAACGCGUGGAUAACCUGCCUCACACUGGGGGAUAACAGUUAGAAAUGGCUGCUAAUACCGCAUAAGCGCACAGUAUCGCAUGGUACGGUGUGAAAAACCCAGGUGGUGUGAGAUGGAUCCGCGUCUGAUUAGCCAGUUGGCGGGGUAACGGCCCACCAAAGCGACGAUCAGUAGCCGACCUGAGAGGGUGACCGGCCACAUUGGGACUGAGACACGGCCCAA
Molecule: ribosomal RNA, 231 nt
Filed under: uncultured bacterium
Lineage: Bacteria
Description: partial 16S ribosomal RNA
Rfam family: Bacterial small subunit ribosomal RNA
Source: RNAcentral